Aureimonas sp. Leaf460 is the source of this 138-nucleotide regulatory RNA element. It matches the Rfam family "speF leader". Rfam says of the family: This family is a putative regulatory RNA structure that is found upstream of the speF gene encoding ornithine decarboxylase in Agrobacterium tumefaciens and other alpha-proteobacteria. The record is from Rfam. Lineage: Bacteria; Pseudomonadati; Pseudomonadota; Alphaproteobacteria; Hyphomicrobiales; Aurantimonadaceae.
CUCCCGGUCUCCACAUCCGGGAAUUCUGAAGAGGCACACCCUCAUUGCCCUAAGUGCGGCGGGUUCAAGCCCUCCAAGCCAAGGCAGACACAUCCGGUCCGGUCGCGCUCGACAGCGCAACGGACCUGCUCACGUCGC